Long non-coding RNA from Amphimedon queenslandica, 443 nucleotides. RefSeq lists it as uncharacterized. The record is from RefSeq and is a predicted model, not a curated record. The transcript is spliced from 2 exons. NCBI's taxonomy places the organism in Eukaryota, Metazoa, Porifera, Demospongiae, Haplosclerida, Niphatidae.
UAAUGUUUUUUAGAUGAAGUAAAGCAUUUAUUCACUGUCCAGUUCAGUGAGUUGGGUACAAAUGUGAGGCUAAGAGAGGAACAGACAUGGGUCCAUUUUACAGAUUUUAUAGAUGAGUGUGAAGAGGGAAAUCUUAAAGUAGCAUUGAAGGACUUGCUAAGUUUUGUCACUGGAUCUUGCUUUGUACCUCCAGAAGGUUUUCCUGUAAACCCAUGUGUCAUCUUCAAUAAUCAAACUCUUUGUACUGCCACCACUUGUGACAUGACACUGAAGUUACCCCUGUACGAAAAGUAUGAUGACUUCAAGGAAGCAAUGACUAUGUCUGUAGUGGGAAAUGAUGGGCUUGGUGCUGGUCCUUAAUUCCAAAAUAAUUUCAUUUAUAUACUUCCCAUCAUUUUGUGACUCAAGUUCUUUUUGCAUUUAUCAUCUUUUUUAAACUGUGA